Molecule: ribosomal RNA, 64 nt
Filed under: Campylospora filicladia
Lineage: Eukaryota; Fungi; Ascomycota; Sordariomycetes
Description: partial 5.8S ribosomal RNA
Rfam family: 5.8S ribosomal RNA
About the family: 5.8S ribosomal RNA (5.8S rRNA) is a component of the large subunit of the eukaryotic ribosome.
Source: RNAcentral
CGAAUCUUUGAACGCACAUUGCGCCCGCCAGUAUUCUGGCGGGCAUGCCUGUUCGAGCGUCAUU